AAAAAAAUUAUUUAUCACAGGGUCAUCAGGAUUUUAGAGAUGCUAAGGUGGGGUAUGAUCAAAAAAAGGUUGGGAAAUACUAUCUGUAGUCUAAGGGCCGUCAAAGUGGAACGGAUAGUAGAGCUUGAGAACCUUAACCUCCCUAAUGGAACAGAUAUUGUAGACGUCUGCCAAAGAGAUAUGGAGAACCUCAGAUUAAAGGACAGGCAAAGGCAUAUAAAGAAAUUAAAAUGGCUUCUUAGAACCCAACUCAAUGGAAGGAAAAGGGGGUCAAGCCUUAGGCCUGGAGGAUGUGGCGGUGAUAGUAGGCAAUUUUCAGCUGCCAAUGUUUGCAGAAGUG
This 340-nucleotide long non-coding RNA is filed under the name Androctonus crassicauda. Lineage: Eukaryota; Metazoa; Arthropoda; Arachnida; Scorpiones; Buthidae. The record is from RNAcentral.